UUGGGUGGGUAGAGCACUGUUUCGGAUAUGGAGUCAUAUAGACUUACUAAACCGAUGCAAACUACGAAUACCAAUGAUCUCAGCAUAGGAGACACACUAUGGGUGCUAACAUCCAUAGUGGAAAGGGAAACAACCCAGACCGUCAGAUAAGGCCCCAAAAUCUUAGUUAAGUGGAAAACGAGGUGGGAAGACUAAGACAGCUAGGAGGUUGGCUUAGAAGCAGCCAUCCUUUAAAGAAAGCGUAACAGCUCACUAGUCUAGUUCACCUGCGCGGAAAAUAUAACGGGGCUAAACUAAGUGCCGAAGCUACGGGUUUAUACAUACAAAAUAUAAGCGGUAGAGGAGCGUUGUGUAAGUCUGUGAAGGGAUAUUGUAAGGUAUGCUGGAGAUAUCACAAGUGCGAAUGCUGACAUGAGUAACGAUAAGGGAUGUGAGAAACAUCCCCGCCGAAAAACUAAGGUUUUCUGUUCAACGAUAAUCGGAGCAGAGUUAGUCGGUCCUAAGGUGAGGCUGAAAAGCGUAAUCGAUGGAAAAUGGGUUAAUAUUCCCGUACCAUAUGUAAUUGCGAUGGGGGGACGGAGAAGGCUAGACGAGCCCAGCGUUGGUUGUCUGGGUGAAAGUAUGUAGGUUUAGAAAUUAGGUAAAUCCGAUUUCUUAAUAAAACUAAGGUAUGAGACGAACUAUUGAAGUCGUUGAAGCCAUGCUUCCAGGAAAAGCCUCUAAGCUUCAGAUUACAUAUGACCGUACCAGAAACCGACACAGGUGGUUAGGUAGAGCAUACUAAGGCGUUUGAGAGAACUCGGGUGAAGGAACUAGGCAAAAUGGCACCGUAACUUAGGGAGAAGGUGCGCCGACUUAUUGUAUAACCUAGAACAGGGAAAGCAAGAAUCGGCCUAAGAAACCAGGUGGCUGCAACUGUUUAUUAAAAACACAGCACUCUGCUAACGCGCAAGCGGACGUAUAGGGUGUGACGCCUGCCCGGUGCUGGAAGGUCAAAAGGAGAUGUGCAAGCAUUGAAUUGAAGCCCCAGUAAACGGCGGCCGUAACUAUAACGGUCCUAAGGUAGCGAAAUUCCUUGUCGGGUAAGUUCCGACCUGCACGAAUGGCGUAAUGAUGGCCACACUGUCUCCACCCGAGACUCAGUGAAAUUGAAAUUGCUGUGAAGAUGCAGUAUACCCGCGGCUAGACGGAAAGACCCCGUGAACCUUUACUAUAGCUUCAUAUUGAAAGUGGGUAUUAUUUGUGUAGAAUAGCUGGGAGACAAUGAAGUACAAACGCAAGUUUGUAUGGAGUCAGCAUUGAAAUACCAGCCUAAUAUU
This 1319-nucleotide ribosomal RNA is filed under the name Candidatus Portiera aleyrodidarum (primary endosymbiont of Bemisia tabaci). RNAcentral describes it as "partial 23S ribosomal RNA". It matches the Rfam family "Bacterial large subunit ribosomal RNA", at positions 895 to 2212 of the family's 2925-position model. The record is from RNAcentral. Lineage: Bacteria; Pseudomonadati; Pseudomonadota; Gammaproteobacteria; Johnevansiales (SeqCode); Johnevansiaceae (SeqCode).